This is a non-coding RNA of Peromyscus maniculatus bairdii (prairie deer mouse), 2188 nucleotides long. The record is from RefSeq and is a predicted model, not a curated record. Lineage: Eukaryota; Metazoa; Chordata; Mammalia; Rodentia; Cricetidae.
CAGGAGGUGACAUCCCAGUUAGGUGACGCUGCCCACGGGCAGACACCUUGCCCAGGUGCUCACCCCAGCACCCCAGCAGAGCCUUGUGGGAACACAGACUCAUGGAGAAGAGGCUGCUGAGGAGGAGGACAGCCUGGAAAGCUGCCGUGUGCAAAGCCCCGCCUGGCCUCCCUUUCCCUCAGUGGCAAGGCCAGUUCCUCUCCCCAGGGGAGGGACAGCAGGCCUCCUGUUUCUGGAAGGCUCUUUGUCUUCCCUCUAAUUCCGGAAGUAAAAAGCACAUUUUCUCACCAAUGAGGAUGCUAGCUGUGCCAGACCCCCAAUCUCCUGCUAAUCAGGGAAAACACACAAAACUUUGGUUCACACAUUCAGGGGGCAAAGAUAAGAAUCACAAGUGAGGGACAGCAUGAGCACUCACUAGGUUUGAACUUUGUCAGGCCCUUCAAUGAGUACAUGUGAGCAGUCCUCUAGGAGUAGGGGACAUUUCCACCUUCCAGAUCCAGAAACUAAGGCAGUCCCUGUGGGCAGGGUGAAUGAAACAGGUUUCCCAGGGUCACUCUACUCAGAUCUGGACAGGACUGGCUUUCAGGGUCACAGUCCUCCUCCUCCUCUGCCAGUCUAUCUGGUCCAAAGGACCUCUCAUGGCUUCCCUUUCUCUUCAUCUAGCCUGUCAGGCCCCUCCUCUGCAGCGUCCUCUGCCUUCUCCAUCCUGUCUUCCUCUCCCUCCAUUCCUCCCCUCUUCCGUUUCCAUGGCAACCCCAUCCUCUGCUCUGCCACUCGGUCCUGCGUUCCCAUCUCAUCUCUUCCUCUCCUCUUUCAUCUCUCCCGUCCUCGCAGUGUAGAGUCCAGAGCGCCCCCCUGUCCUUUGCUGCUGGCCCUUGGCCCCUUUUACCCUCCUUUCAUCUCCCCCAAUGUCCUCCUGUCAUCUCAGAGUGACAUUUAUCUGUCUCUUGCUUAAAAAGAAAAAGAAAGAGGGAAAAGGGAAAAGAAACCCUAGUCUGUUUGGCCUGACUCUUCCAGUUCGGUCCUAGCCUCCCUUCUGAAGAGCCAAAGGGUCAAAGCCCCAGGACAGCAAGGAGGAAGGACACCUCCCCCAAGGGACCCUCUGCCUGCUAGAGGGUUCCCUCUUUGACACACAGUUGGGGGUGGGGCUUGCUGGGAGAGGCAUCCUGGAGUAGCCUGAGGUACCCUCAGGACAGAGCAAGGCCCAGACAGGCCCAGAAUCCCCCACGAUGCUGCCCAAGCUGGAACUCACUGGUCUUCGGGAGACCCAACCCACCGUACCCAGCCUGAGGCCCCUCUCCCAGGUACACCUGGCCUUCAGAACUGGUGCACGCCUUUAAUCCCAGCACUUGGGAGGCAGAGGCAGCCAGCCAGCCUGGGAUACACAGAGAAACCUUGUCUUGAAAAACAAACAACAGCUAAAGAACUGGAUCCUCAAUGGACCCAGAGGUCUUCUGCACAAACAGACUCCACUUCUCCCUGCACUCCAGGACACAGCAGUCCCAGCCCAGGCUCCCCCAGGCCACUACACUGCUGUGUUUAAUCUAAGCGAUCUGAAACAAAGGCCCAGGAAUGGAUUUACCUCAGAAAAGAAAGCAAGCCGAUUAUGCUGGUGAACCUGGAGUCUCCGAGCAACACAGGAUCACUAGUGAAUAAAUAAUAAAAGUUGGCUUUAUCUUCCUCUCCGAGGCUCAGGGAACACUGUAGAAUGUCAGGGCAGAGAGGAGUACAGGAAGAGCCGUCCUCUGGACAGGACAUGGCCACUGUCCUCAUGAAGUCACUACAGCGAUGGCCACCUGCGCAAGGUCAAGCUGGCAAGGCUUAGUCAGCAUUACAGCAGGCGGCUCUAAUUCACGGAGUGUGUUUCCAAACAUAAACAAAGCCAACGAACUCCAAGAAGAGGACAGGAGGGCGGGAGCGGGGCCUGUUAGGGGAUGUCUGAGGGGAGUCAGGGAUGAAUGUGAUCAAGGUGUAUGUGCAUAUGAAAUGGUAAAGAAUUGUAAAAAACUGGAAAGAAAAAGAUAUCCCUUUAAGUCUGUUUCAUUUUUUUUUAAUUGUUCUUAAAGGUUAUGGAUGAAGCUGGGCAUGGGGACUCCCACCACACUCUCAGCACUCAGAAGGUUGGUGCAGGGUUGCCAUUCAUAUGCAGUCAGCCUGGGCUACCGAGACCUUGUCUCAAAAUAGCAAA